ACAACCAAUCAACGGCAUUUAGGCAGAGAACGUAAAUUUAGGCAGAGAAUGUUGAUGAAUUCAUAAAAAAUUCAUCAACAUUCUCUGAUUUAGAUAAUACCGGUUUAACACUUUGUAAGCUGUUAGAAUUCGAUUUAACAGGAUAAGAAACAAUAUACCAUACCAACGUCAACGUGGGUGUGGCAGGAACGAAAACGGACGAAGGGAUAUACAGCAGCAUAAAACAGAACACACGACGUAUAAUAUGAUACCGACGACGAUGUGGCGAAAUGGCGUUAACAAUAUAAAUGUAGACCGCUUAUUUUUUUAUGUUUUCUUGAUUUUUUUUGUUAUUAUCGUUGCUAAAAUAGUGAAUUACGAUAGAGACUUAAGAUAUAUAAUGAUUAUAUGUAGAGAAAACUUCUAUUGUUUAAUAUGGCGAUUUUAACACAAAAUAAAUUUAUAAUUGUAAUUAGAAAUGACUUUGUAAUAGGCGUAUUUUCAUAGAUAUCACUUUUCAUUGAUAUUGUCUCCAGACUUUUGUGUUUAUAACACAAAUUAUAAUUUUAAAAAAAUCGACACAUAAUUUUUUUGUCAUGCACUUUAGUUCAUUUUUUCAUUAUUUACAUUAUUAUUAUUUUUUUCACAGUUUUUUUCGCACUACAUCUUUUUUAUGCCUUUUAAAAUCACAAUUAUUAGCCAGAGUUCAAGAGGAACAUACAUAUACUUCUUUUCAUCAUAUCUACAAAUUGAUUUAAAACCUCACAAUUUCACGCUUACAAACUAUGAUUUGUACUAGAAUAAAAUGUUCUGAAAGAGUCAAAAAGAGUGUUCGCUGAUCGAUUAACAAAUUGAGUUUCUAAAAAGCAAUCAUUGCACACGCUCCACUUAGUACACUUCGUAUUUUCCGCACUUACCACAAAUUUAGCGUAGCCCGACUAGUCCAUUAUUUAUGGAUUACAGUCAUAGCUGGCUAACUUGCAUCGAGUAUUGGUCUAUUCAAUAUUCUUAAUGUACAUUUGUUGUACAGAAAAUGUCAACAAUUCAAAAAUAAAUCAAAGUAAAAGUACAUUAUUUACCAGUAAAAAUAUAUAAAAAAUAAAACAUAUUUCAACACACACCGAGUAUUUAAGCAUACGAUCAUACUAUUUGUUCAUACUUGUCCUUUUGUCAAUUUAUCCCUACUUCUUUUUUACUAUUAAUUUGUUUUU
Molecule: long non-coding RNA, 1190 nt
Organism: Bactrocera oleae (olive fruit fly)
Lineage: Eukaryota; Metazoa; Arthropoda; Insecta; Diptera; Tephritidae
Source: RefSeq, a predicted model, not a curated record